Molecule: ribosomal RNA, 759 nt
Filed under: uncultured bacterium
Lineage: Bacteria
Also listed under: 1 other name
Description: bacterial SSU rRNA
Rfam family: Bacterial small subunit ribosomal RNA
Source: RNAcentral
ACAAUACUGACGCUCAAGGUGCGAAAGCGUGGGGAGCAAACAGUGAUUAGAUACCCUGGUAGUCCACGCCGUAAACGAUGUCUACUAGCUGUUCGUGGUCUUGUACUGUGAGUAGCGCAGCUAACGCACUAAGUAGACCGCCUGGGGAGUACGGUCGCAAGAUUAAAACUCAAAUGAAUUGACGGGGGCCCGCACAAGCGGUGGAGCAUGUGGUUUAAUUCGACGCAACGCGAAGAACCUUACCUACUCUUGACAUCUAGCGAAGAUUGCAGAGAUGCAGUUGUGCCUUCGGGAACGCUAAGACAGGUGCUGCAUGGCUGUCGUCAGCUCGUGUUGUGAAAUGUUGGGUUAAGUCCCGCAACGAGCGCAACCCUUAUCCUUAGUUGCCAGCACGUAAUGGUGGGAACUCUAGGGAGACUGCCGGUGAUAAACCGGAGGAAGGUGGGGACGACGUCAAGUCAUCAUGGCCCUUACGAGUAGGGCUACACACGUGCUACAAUGGUACGUACAGAGGGAGGCAAGCUGGCGACAGUGAGCGGAUCUCUUAAAGCGUAUCGUAGUCCGGAUCGCAGUCUGCAACUCGACUGCGUGAAGUCGGAAUCGCUAGUAAUCGCAAAUCAGAAUGUUGCGGUGAAUACGUUCCCGGGCCUUGUACACACCGCCCGUCACACCAUGGGAGUGGGUUGCAAAAGAAGUAGUAGCUUAACCUUCGGGAGGGCGCUUACCACUUUGUGGAUUCAUGACUGGGGUGAAGUCGUA